Long non-coding RNA from Tupaia belangeri chinensis (Chinese tree shrew), 491 nucleotides. RefSeq lists it as uncharacterized. The transcript is spliced from 3 exons. NCBI's taxonomy places the organism in Eukaryota, Metazoa, Chordata, Mammalia, Scandentia, Tupaiidae. The record is from RefSeq and is a predicted model, not a curated record.
AUGGUGGCUCGAAGGUCUUGCCACCUCCCAGCGCCAUCAUGUCAGGGAUGAAAUUCCAGCCCGUGCACUUGGGCGGAGCAGAAUCUGAACCUGCAGGCGCAGCCUCGGGGUGGCGCGGCCUCGGUGAUUGGCAGUGAGCUCCCAGAGGCUGCCGGUUCCAACUGUGCCCUCUGGCUCAGUGCCACACCCAGGAGAUGCGUGGACUCUGGGCACCAAGCAUCCAGUCAGAACCGGUGUAUUUUGAAGAAGCCAUUUCUAUCUCUGUGUUGGCCUCAUGGCAGGCUAAUGAAGACACGUGUUUCCUGCCGCCUCAGCACAGGGUUUGGUCUCACCUGGUUUCAGGGAGACGACAGGAACACCUCACCUGAGGAAGCUGCACUGAUGCGAGCAUCACCUGAAACCAGCAAGUGUAACCUCUGCAUCGAAGAGACACCUGACACUCAUGAGUCCUGAAAUGAAUCAUAUUAGUAAUAAAUAUGAAAUAAACACAU